This 468-nucleotide ribosomal RNA is filed under the name uncultured bacterium. RNAcentral's name for it is "partial 16S ribosomal RNA". It matches the Rfam family "Bacterial small subunit ribosomal RNA", at positions 28 to 507 of the family's 1533-position model. The record is from RNAcentral.
GACGAACGCUGGCGGCGUGCUUAACACAUGCAAGUCGAACGGAAAGGCCCUGCUUUUGUGGGGUGCUCGAGUGGCGAACGGGUGAGUAACACGUGAGUAACCUGCCCUUGACUUUGGGAUAACUUCAGGAAACUGGGGCUAAUACCGGAUAGGAGCUCCUGCUGCAUGGUGGGGGUUGGAAAGUUUCGGCGGUUGGGGAUGGACUCGCGGCUUAUCAGCUUGUUGGUGGGGUAGUGGCUUACCAAGGCUUUGACGGGUAGCCGGCCUGAGAGGGUGACCGGCCACAUUGGGACUGAGAUACGGCCCAGACUCCUACGGGAGGAAGCAGUGGGGAAUAUUGCACAAUGGGCGGAAGCCUGAUGCAGCAACGCCGCGAGCGGGAUGACGGCCUUCGGGUUGUAAACCGCUUUCGCCUGUGACGAAGCGGGAGUGACGGUAAUGGGUAAAGAAGCACCGGCUAACUACGUG